Molecule: long non-coding RNA, 455 nt
Organism: Triticum aestivum (bread wheat)
Lineage: Eukaryota; Viridiplantae; Streptophyta; Magnoliopsida; Poales; Poaceae
Exons: 3
Source: RefSeq, a predicted model, not a curated record
CCCCCUCCCCGCGCGACGCGGCACGCCCGCCCCGCCCUCCCUCCCUUCCUCCUCGGCGCCGGCGCGCCGUCGAUCGAACGCACCCAACUUAGUUGCCACUACCAGGACUUCUAUUAAGCAGACUGUAUACACAUUAUCAGAUAAAAGGUGUGGAAAAGACUGCAAGUAGCCAUCAAGGUAAUUCUGAGAUGAGACAAGUGCUUAACAGACAAUGAGACAAUAUCAUUUGAUACUGAAGGUUCUACCCUGAAGUCACUCUCUGCCAUUAUUGACUGAAUGAACACAAACAAUUCUACAUGAGUUCCACUGGUUAGCUAGCUAUUACACAACUCUGCUCUACGCUGUAACGAACAACAGCUGGUGGGCUUGUGUCGUUACUCGAACCAGUAUAAUCCUGGAACGCAUGAUUGCCUCCAAAGUCACACCCUCUACACCCAGAGCUAAAGGUCAGGCUG